Molecule: long non-coding RNA, 3099 nt
Filed under: Homo sapiens (human)
Lineage: Eukaryota; Metazoa; Chordata; Mammalia; Primates; Hominidae
Description: HSALNT0202178
Source: RNAcentral
UUUUACAAUUUUUUUUCUAUUUCUAUUAUUUUUCUACCUCAUUACUUUCCUAUUUCUAUUUGCUGGGUCACAGACAGCAGCAAAUUCCAUACCUUUGGGGUUAUACCAGCUCAUGUGCAAUAGAAAUAGAAAUAUCAAAGCUCUCAGUCUACCACCUUCUGCUCCAGAGAUGUGGCCCAAGCACACCUUUGGAUGUGAACCAGGGCAACCCAAGGCAGAGCUGGAUACCUGGGAGUUUCUCCCUGUAAGCCCUGGACCUGCUUACCUGAAAGCCAGACUGCUUCUGGCGCCACUGCCGCUCAGAAGAAGUUGGGGUCGGUUCAGCCGCUAAAAUGACACAAGUCUCAGGUCUCGUGUCUUCAGUACAACUUUCUCUAAGAGGGAGAAAUUUAUUCAAGAUCCUGUUAGCACUUUUCUCUCCUGUUGCCUUUCAGGAUUAUAGCUUUUCCUUUUUUCAUUUUUUAAUUCCCAAAACCAAGCUUGUUAGAUCAAAUCUUUACCCCAUUCCUGGCAAAUAACAAGGUUAUUACUAUUUGGCCCUACACCCACUAGUUGUCCCCCAGUACCCUGAGGAUAAGGGGACUCCGUAAGGUCCCUGGGAGGGGAAAGGAAUAUCAAUUAGUGGUCCCCCCAACUGGCUAUAAGCAAACUUUCCUGUCUGUGGGCCCCAGAAACCACCACCUAGUUCCCCCACCAAAACUUUACAUGAUUUUAAUUCUCCUGAUGAGGAUGAGAGGACAACAUUAGCCAACAGAGAGGGCAGAGGAUGGGAUGGGACUACCUUGCUCAGAGACCCUCACCUCUAGGUCUUUACCUCGUAUUGAGAAUAAGCCAGUACUGGAUUAAGAACUCUGUGUCCAUGGCAACUCCAAACAGAAUCCUGGUGCUCUUGAGAUUCUCGUAGAGUAGGGAAUAAAACGAGCUUGGUCCAAGACUGCAGAGACUUAAAAACACGCUGUUCUGCCACACAUACAGAUACUCAUUAAAGAUGAGGGAAAAGGGCAUGGGGUCGGGGAGAACGUACCAAAACCAAAGACCACAGGAUAAUCACCUUAGAGCAGAGAUGAUCUCUCCAGUUAUUUUUUCUUUUGUAUGUAAUGGAGGGGAUUCUUCUUAUUUACGCUGAUGAACUUUUUAUCAAGUGUUCGGCUUCCUUUGUGGGUUAGAGAGAAUAACCAGAGGGCUCAGUGUUUUCUAGACCAUAUUAAAUUUCACUAAAGUAAGCAAGGUUGAUAGGACUUGCAGGGGAAACUUCAUUGACUCAAGCUAUCAUUUUCUAGGAUUGUGAGAAAAUAAAUAGGUGUACAUUUAAAAUACACCCAUAUUCUAGUUAGAAGAGAGGAUUUUGAGUGUUCUUACAGCAAAGAAAUGGUAAAUGUUUAAGGCAAUGGAUAUGCUAAUUACCAUGAUUUGAUCAUUAUACCAUGUAAAAUGUACUGAAACAUCACACUGUACCUCAUAUGUACAAUUUGUUAUGUAUACAUUAAAAUUUUGAUUAUAAGAAAAAAUAAACUUCAAAUGUAAGAAAACAACCCAACUUUUAAAAAAUGGGCAAAAUAUGUGAACAGAUACUUCACUAAUAAAGAUUUGCAACUGACAAGCCAAUGAAAAGAGGGCCAUCAUAACUAGCUAUUAGAGAAAUGCAGAUUCAAACUACAAUAAGAAACCACUAGAUACCUAUUAGAAUAUCUAAAAUUAGAAAGAUGGCGUGUUGACAAAGAUAGAGAGAAACUGAAACUCUCAUACAAUGCCAGGAAUGUAAAGUGCUAGAUCCACUUUGGAAAACAGUUUGGCAGUUUCUUAAGAAGUUAAUUAGGUCUUCCAGUUCCCACUCCAACAUGCAGAGAACUUGGAAGUCAUCACUCCCAUCUUCACAACAGGAAAAAAGAUAAUCAAACUGAAAAUCAACAACUUUUCUUAGAUCUGUCAGAGAAUAGAGGUCACAGGGCAAACCACUUCCUCAAAAACUAGAGAGACACGUGACUACAGAACAUCACAGUUUACCUGAGAGCAGAAGCCACAGGAGCCAGUAAUUGGUAGGAACACUUAAAUGCUAGUCAAUUAAUUACCGGUGGCUGAGUGUGGACUAGCUUGAGAGUUAAAAACUUGUUGAAGUCCCGCCUUGGGAACCCCUUAUACUUUCAUGAAUGUUACUUCCAGAAACCCUAGCUGGUUCUCAUGAUGAAGGCUGAAGAAAAUUUCCUCAGGCUCUUUAGGCAAGGAAAAGGGAAAAGCAACCAUUUCAAAAUAUACCCUAGUUGGUGGAUAGAGUGAGUGGGUACAGCAACCAUUUUGAAAUAUGCCCAGAGCAUUCUAUUCUCUGUGUGAAAGCCCUGCCCUAAAGAAAAACUGCUUUAUCAGGGCCUUGUCUGACAUAGGGGAAAAGCAGUAAGACAACUCUAAACCCCUCUAGUUUUCCUGUCCCACAUAAAAGGAGAGGAAAAAAAGAAAUCAUUACUAAGUCAGUAUCAGAAAAAUUUACACCUAUGUUUUUGUCUAAGAGUACGGUUUGGGAUCUUACAUUUAGAUAUUUCUUCCAUUUGAGGUUGAUUUUUCUGUAUGAUGUGAGGAAGAGAUCUAACUUCAUCCACUUGCUGAAGAGACUGUUCUUUUCCACUGAAUGGCCUUGAUACCCUUGUGGAAAAUCAAUUGACCUUAAAUGUAUGAAUUUACUUCUGGACUCUCAAUUCUAUUCCAUUGAUCUACAUGUCUAUCCUUAUUCCAGUACUACACAAUUUUAACCACUAUAAGUAAGUUUUGAAAUAAUAAAGUGUGGACUCUGCAACUUCAUUGUUCUUCUUCAAGAUCAUUUUGCUUCUUCGGAGUCCCUUGCAUUUUCAAAUGAAUUUUAGGAUCAGCAAGUCAAUUUCUGCAAAAUAGAAGCUAGGAUUCUGAUAGGAACUGAGUUGAAUAUGUAGAUCAAUUUGUGGAGUACUGUCAUCUUAACAGUAAUGUCUUCCAUUCAAUAAACCCAGAAUGUGUAUCUAUUUAUUUAGGUCUUUACUUAAUCACUUUCAAUAAUGUUUUGUAGUCUUACAUUUCUUUUGUUUUAGUCUUAUUUUUUAAUGCUAUUGUAAAUAAAAUUACUUUCUUAAUUUC